Molecule: transfer RNA, 77 nt
Filed under: Verrucomicrobiota bacterium
Lineage: Bacteria; Pseudomonadati; Verrucomicrobiota
Description: Verrucomicrobia bacterium (freshwater metagenome) tRNA-Phe
Rfam family: tRNA
About the family: Transfer RNA (tRNA) molecules are approximately 80 nucleotides in length.
Source: RNAcentral
GGCGAGAUAGCUCAGUUUGGUAGAGCAACGGACUGAAAAUCCGUGUGUCGACGGUUCGAUCCCGUCUCUCGCCACCA